GACUUCAUGGCCGAUUGGUUAUAACGUUUGACUAGCCACCAAUAAGGUUACAGGUUCGAGUCCUUUUGUCGGCA
Molecule: non-coding RNA, 74 nt
Organism: Meloidogyne enterolobii
Lineage: Eukaryota; Metazoa; Nematoda; Chromadorea; Rhabditida; Meloidogynidae
Source: the annotation of a GenBank genome assembly